CCUCCCUGUGACUCCUUCCAAUGCAGGCAGACUAGGUCUGAAGACGCAGGAGGGGUCCCACAGGACUAGCGAAGAGGGUCUUCACUUCACCUAGGAUGGAAAUCAAAUGUGAGCCAGUAGGAAGUGAAAGCAGAGUUACUGAAGGUACAUAGAAAUAGACAGAUGGACGGAGCAUCCAAGAGACUAUGAAAGACAGAGAGCACGAGUCUCAUCUCUGUUUGGGGCCUGGGGCUUUGAUUGACGAUUGUGAUCCGGUGCACGCAUCCUCUUAGGCAUCCAGAAACUGGUCAGACCAAUGACAGGGGCCAAGUGUCCUUCAGAAGUCACUUAUUUCUUGGAACCAGGGGUCCUGGCAUCAAGGUAACUUUGUACUGUCCUCGCAUUCUGACUUCAGGCUCAAUCCUGUGAUCUGCCUUGGCUGCUAGAGUAUUAGCAGCCAUAAAGCAAUCAGAGGCUUGAAAAGCACUUCUGUGUUUCUGCUUGCUAUUCUUGCCCUCUGUGAUCACCGUGACGUGCAAAACUAGCCUGCUAGUGGAUGAAAGACACGUGGAGUGCAGCCAGUCGCCCCAGUCACCCCAGAUGAGGCCAUCCGGGAUUGGCCAGUCAAUACCCAGAGAAGUGAUCAAGUCUAGCAAACAUCAUCAGUAGAACUGCCUCAGGAACAUCAGUAUGAUUCCAGACAUAUGAGCAAUAAAUAUUUCAGGCUACUGAG
Molecule: long non-coding RNA, 712 nt
Organism: Suricata suricatta (meerkat)
Lineage: Eukaryota; Metazoa; Chordata; Mammalia; Carnivora; Herpestidae
Exons: 2
Source: RefSeq, a predicted model, not a curated record